Molecule: ribosomal RNA, 523 nt
Filed under: uncultured bacterium
Lineage: Bacteria
Description: bacterial SSU rRNA
Rfam family: Bacterial small subunit ribosomal RNA
Source: RNAcentral
UAGUCCACGCCGUAAACGAUGAGAACUAGAUGUUGGAAGGAUUUGCCUUUCAGUGUCGCAGCUAACGCGUUAAGUUCUCCGCCUGGGGAGUACGCCGGCAACGGUAAAACUCAAAGGAAUUGACGGGACCCGCACAAGCGGUGGAGCAUGUGGUUUAAUUCGAUGCAACGCGAAGAACCUUACCUGCCCUUGACAUACUUGGAACUUUCCAGAGAUGGAUUGGUGCCUUCGGGAACCGAGAUACAGGUGCUGCAUGGCUGUCGUCAGCUCGUGUCGUGAGAUGUUGGGUUAAGUCCCGCAACGAGCGCAACCCUUGUCCCUAGUUGCCAUCAUUUAGUUGGGCACUCUAGGGAGACCGCCGGUGACAAACCGGGAGGAAGGUGGGGACACGGUCAAGUCAUCAUGGGCCCUUAUGGGGCAGGGGCUACACACGUGCUACAAUGGGCCAGUACAGAGGGUUGCCAAGCCGCAAGGGUGGAGCCAAUCCCAGAAAGCUAGGGUCGUAGUCCGGGAUUGGGAGUCU